AUGUCAGAAAUCGUCAACAACCUCCUCGGCAAACUCGCCGACCUGCUGAGCGACGAGUGUCAGAAGCUCAAAGGGGUGGAGCGUCAUGUGCAGCACCUCGGGGAUGAGCUCAGCUCCAUGAAAGCUCUCCUGGAGGCGCUGGAUCUCAGGGAUAAACUCGACCCCUUGACCAAGGACUGGCGGGACCAUGUCAGGGACAUGGCCUACGACAUGGAAGAUUGCAUCGGCGACUUCCUGCUCAAUGUUGGAAGUGCCAAUGCCAAUGCAGGUUUUAUUGAGAAGACCACUCAACUUGUCAAGGACCUGUGGGCGCGUCAUCAGUUUACAAUCCAGAUCCAGGAGCUCAAGGAUCGUGCUAUAGAGGCGAAUCAUCGACGCAAAAGGUACAAGCUUGAUGAUAGCAGUAGCUCUAGCUCUGCCCUUGUGCCCGUCGAUCCUCGGGUGUCGGCACUCUACACAGAGGCGGCCUGCGUUGUGGGUAUUGAUGGCCCAAGGGAAGAGCUUGUCAAUUGGCUGGCGGGUAGUGAGCAAGAACUCAAGGUGGUGUCUAUUGUGGGAUUCGGCGGUCUCGGUAAAACUACACUUGCCAAACAGGUGUUUGACAAGAUUGGCGAACAAUUCGACUGCAAGGCAUUUGUGUCGGUUUCCCAAAGACCUGACAUGGCAGGGCUCUUGACUGGGCUAAAAUCGAAGCUUGGGGGAAACAACACUCGUGGCAAUCACGAUGUGCAAGACAUCAUCGGCAAGCUUCGAGAGCAACUCGCACACAAGAGGUACUUUAUUGUAGUCGAUGACGUGUGGGAUCGACCAACAUGGGAAAAAAUUAGUGGUGCUUUUCCAGAUAAUAGCAAUGGGAGUCGAAUAAUAGUAACUACACGAGUGGAAGAUGUGGCCUUCCUGGCAUGUCGUAAUCACCGGCAGCGCAUUUACAAAAUGAAGCCUCUCAACGACCAAGACUCCAAAAGGUUAUUCUUUAGUAGAGUGCUUGGGCCUGAGGAUGCCAAUCCAUCCCAUCAUGAAGAAGUUUCAACUGAAAUUUUGAAGAGGUGUGGUGGACUGCCACUCGCUAUUAUUACAAUAUCUGGCAUAGUAGCUAGUCGUCCAGGAAUAUUAAGGCAGGAUUGGGAGAGCAUAAGGAGUUACUUGGGAGUGCAAUCUGCCAUAGACGUUACCAUGGAAGGAAUGAGGCAUAUAUUAAACCUAAGCUACAUGCAUCUUCCCGUUGAUCUUCGGGCAUGUUGCUUACGUCUUGGAAUGCAUCCAGAGGACCACGAGAUCAUGAGGGAUGAUCUUCUUCGACAAUGGAUAGCUGAAGGCCUUGUGAGGAAUUUACCUGGGCAAGAUUUGGAGGAUGUUGCAAGGAGUUAUUUCAAUGAGCUUAUCAAUAGAAGCUUGAUUCAGCCUGAAAGGACAAUCGCUGGGGAUGUGGUUUCUUGCACAGUGCAUGAUAUGAUUCAUGAAGUGAUUAUCAGCAAGUGUGAAGAGGAAAAUUUCAUGAGUGUGGUAUACAAUUCUGAUGACAUGCCAAAACUGCAUAAACGCAAGCUCAAGGUCCGCCGAUUGUUCCUGAGCUCGAGUUCUGAUGAUGCAAUAGAUGGUACAAUAUCAAGGACCACUGAUACUAGUCUGUCAAAGGUUAGAUCGAUUGUAUCAUUUGGAGAGUCGUAUUUUUUAGCUAGAUAUCUCCGGGUGCUGUUCAUUGGAAACUGGAAGAUACACACAGUAGAUCUCAGUGAUAUCAACCAAUUGUUACAUCUGAGGUAUUUGAAGGUUACAGCAGAAAACAUAAAGCUUCCGUCUGAAUUGAAAGGACUAGUGCAUUUGGAGACACUGGAAAUGACUUGUCGUUCAAUCCCGUCUGAUGUAGUUCAGUUGCCCCGUUUGUCCCACCUGGCUGCUCUAUGUCACAGGCUGCCUAGUGGGAUCGGGAACUUGAAAUUAUUGCGAACUCUGAAUGGGUUUCAGUUGACAGGUUGCUCCUCGGAGGAUAUCAAUGGCCUGGGCGAGCUAACAAAUUUGCGAGAGCUCUUUCUCAGAAUAGAAGAUACAGUUGAAAUUGAUGAUGCUUUGGCCUCCUCCAUUGAAAAGCUUCGUAAACUGAGACAUCUCAGGCUUUUUCAUAACGGGAAUCUUGAAAAUGACAGUCUGUUAUCAUUAUCAAAUCCUCCCCUCCAUAUCGAGACACUUCGAAUGAAUGGAAUCGUGACCUUCAGAAUCCCAAGGUGGAUUGGUGAUCUCCAUUAUCUCCGUUACCUGGACCUGCGUGUUAGGGAGACAUCAACUGAUGACAUUCGUCUUCUUGGAGAGCUGCGCUCCCUGAUGGAAUUCAGAUUAUACUUGUUUCAUUUCGCUGCCAAUGGAGUUAUCGUAAUCAGAACAGGAUUAUUUCCAGCUCUGGAGUACUUUCAGGCAGACUUUCGAGAACAGCGUCAUGAGGUACACUCUGCAGAAGACGAUGUUAUGGCACACCUGUGCUUUGAGGUCGGGUCAAUGCCCAAGCUACAAAGGCUCGAGCUACAUUUAUCUGAGAGGCACUGGGGCGGCGCUACCCCAGUUGGCGUAGAGCACCUGUUAGCUCUCAAGCAAAUCAAGUUAGCAUUCGCCUACCGCGGCAGCAGUGAUAUUGAUGAAGUGGAUCGUCGUGCUGAGUCUGCGUUCAGGGACGCCUUGCAAGGGCACCCGAACCAUCACUCCAUUCGCAUCAAUUAG
Molecule: ribosomal RNA, 2709 nt
Filed under: Triticum aestivum (bread wheat)
Lineage: Eukaryota; Viridiplantae; Streptophyta; Magnoliopsida; Poales; Poaceae
Description: partial small subunit ribosomal RNA
Source: RNAcentral